This 486-nucleotide ribosomal RNA is filed under the name uncultured bacterium. RNAcentral's name for it is "partial 16S ribosomal RNA". It matches the Rfam family "Bacterial small subunit ribosomal RNA", at positions 30 to 507 of the family's 1533-position model. The record is from RNAcentral.
AUUGAACGCUGGCGGCAUGCCUUACACAUGCAAGUCGAACGGCAGCACGGGUGCUUGCCCCUGGUGGCGAGUGGCGAACGGGUGAGUAAUACAUCGGAACAUGUCCUGUAGUGGGGGAUAGCCCGGCGAAAGCCGGAUUAAUACCGCAUACGAUCUACGGAGGACAGCGGGGGACCUUCGGGCCUCGCGCUAUAGGGUUGGCCGAUGGCUGAUUAGCUAGUUGGUGGGGUAAAGGCCUACCAAGGCGACGAUCAGUAGCUGGUCUGAGAGGACGACCAGCCACACUGGGACUGAGACACGGCCCAGACUCCUACGGGAGGCAGCAGUGGGGAAUUUUGGACAAUGGGCGAAAGCCUGAUCCAGCAAUGCCGCGUGUGUGAAGAAGGCCUUCGGGUUGUAAAGCACUUUUGUCCGGAAAGAAAUCCUUGGCCCUAAUACGGUCGGGGGAUGACGGUACCGGAAGAAUAAGCACCGGCUAACUACGUG